AGAGUUUGAUCAUGGCUCAGAUUGAACGCUGGCGGCAUGCUUUACACAUGCAAGUCGAACGGGGUGAGGAGCUUGCUCCUCAUCUAGUGGCGAACGGGUGGGUAAUACAUCGGAACGUACCGUGUAGUGGGGGAUAACGUAGCGAACGUUACGCUAAUACCGCAUACGAUCCACGGAUGAAAGCAGGGGACCUUCGGGCCUUGUGCUAUACGAGCGGCCGAUGUCUGAUUAGCUAGUUGGUGGGGUAAAGGCCCACCAAGGCAACGAUCAGUAGCGGGUCUGAGAGGAUGAUCCGCCACACUGGGACUGAGACACGGCCCAGACUCCUACGGGAGGCAGCAGUGGGGAAUUUUGGACAAUGGGCGCAAGCCUGAUCCAGCCAUGCCGCGUGUCUGAAGAAGGCCUUCGGGUUGUAAAGGACUUUUGUCAGGGAGCAAAACCCAGCAGCUAAUAUCUGUUGGGGAUGAGAGUACCUGAAGAAUAAGCACCGGCUAACUACGUG
This 502-nucleotide ribosomal RNA is filed under the name uncultured bacterium. RNAcentral describes it as "bacterial SSU rRNA". It matches the Rfam family "Bacterial small subunit ribosomal RNA", at positions 8 to 507 of the family's 1533-position model. The record is from RNAcentral.